GGGAUGGAGGAGGAAACAUUGAAGACUGAAUGGAUUCUCCGAUCUCUCCUGUAUUUCAGGUCCCAAGAUCUCCAUCCAGUGAAGAGGUAAUGUUUCUUUCUGUCCAAGUGAAAGGAGCAACCCACGAAUUCAGAAGGCAGACCACAGUGCUGGUUAAAAACCAAGAGAGCCUGGUCUUUGUCCAGACAGACAAACCUAUCUACAAACCAGGACAGACAGUGAAGUUUCGUGUUGUCUCAUUGGAUGAAAAUUUUCACCCCCUGAGUGAGUUGGUGAGUCUCCUUAUAUAUAUAUACAGAA
Molecule: long non-coding RNA, 300 nt
Organism: Myotis brandtii (Brandt's bat)
Lineage: Eukaryota; Metazoa; Chordata; Mammalia; Chiroptera; Vespertilionidae
Exons: 2
Source: RefSeq, a predicted model, not a curated record